CCUACGGGAGGCAGCAGUGGGGAAUAUUGCACAAUGGGGGAAACCCUGAUGCAGCGACGCCGCGUGGGUGACGAAGUAUUUCGGUAUGUAAAGCCCUAUCAGCAGGGAAGAAGAUGACAGUACCUGACCAAGAAGCCCCGGCUAACUACGUGCCAGCAGCCGCGGUAAUACGUAGGGGGCAAGCGUUAUCCGGAUUUACUGGGUGUAAAGGGAGCGUAGGUGGCAUGGCAAGCCAGAAGUGAAAACCCGGGGCUUAACCCCGCGGAUUGCUUUUGGAACUGUCAGGCUGGAGUGCAGGAGGGGCAGGCGGAAGUCCUGGUGUAGCGGUGAAAUGCGUGGAUAUCAGGAGGAACACCGGUGGCGAAGGCGGCCUGCUGGACUGUAACUGACACUGAGGCUCGAAAGCGUGGGGAGCAAACAGGAUUAGAUACCCCAGUAGUC
Molecule: ribosomal RNA, 441 nt
Filed under: uncultured bacterium
Lineage: Bacteria
Description: partial 16S ribosomal RNA
Rfam family: Bacterial small subunit ribosomal RNA
Source: RNAcentral